Molecule: ribosomal RNA, 492 nt
Filed under: uncultured bacterium
Lineage: Bacteria
Description: partial 16S ribosomal RNA
Rfam family: Bacterial small subunit ribosomal RNA
Source: RNAcentral
AGUGAACGCUGGCGGUAGGCCUAACACAUGCAAGUCGAACGGCAGCACAGUAAGAGCUUGCUCUUACGGGUGGCGAGUGGCGGACGGGUGAGGAAUACAUCGGAAUCUACUUUUUCGUGGGGGAUAACGUAGGGAAACUUACGCUAAUACCGCAUACGACCUACGGGUUAAAGCAGGGGAUCUUCGGACCUUGCGCGAUUGAAUGAGCCGAUGUCGGAUUAUCUAGUUGGCGGGGUAAAGGCCCACCAAGGCGACGAUCCGUAGCUGGUCUGAGAGGAUGAUCAGCCACACUGGAACUGAGACACGGUACAGACUCCUACGGGAGGCAGCAGUGGGGAAUAUUGGACAAUGGGCGCAAGCCUGAUCCAGCCAUACCGCGUGGGUGAAGAAGGCCUUCGGGUUGUAAAGCCCUUUUGUUGGGAAAGAAAAGCAGCAGGUUAAUACCCCGCUGUUCUGACGGUACCCAAAGAAUAAGCACCGGCUAACUUCGUG